Molecule: ribosomal RNA, 688 nt
Filed under: uncultured bacterium
Lineage: Bacteria
Description: bacterial SSU rRNA
Rfam family: Bacterial small subunit ribosomal RNA
Source: RNAcentral
CAUGCAGUCGUGGGGCAGCAGGGGUAGCAAUACCCGCUGGCGACCGGCAAACGGGUGCGGAACACGUACGCAACCUUCCUUUAACUGGAGAAUAGCCCCUCGAAAGAGGGAUUAAUACUCCGUAACAUAUACAUGUGGCAUCACAAGUAUAUUAUAGCUCCGGCGGUUAAAGAUGGGCGUGCGCCUGAUUAGAUAGUUGGCGGGGUAACGGCCCACCAAGUCUGCGAUCAGUAACUGGUGUGAGAGCACGACCAGUCACACGGGCACUGAGACACGGGCCCGACUCCUACGGGAGGCAGCAGUAAGGAAUAUUGGUCAAUGGACGCAAGUCUGAACCAGCCAUGCCGCGUGGAGGAUUAAGGCCCUCUGGGUUGUAAACUCCUUUUAUCUGGGAAGAAAUGCAUUUUUUCUAAAGUGCUUGACGGUACCAGAGGAAUAAGCACCGGCUAACUCCGUGCCAGCAGCCGCGGUAAUACGGAGGGUGCAAGCGUUAUCCGGAUUCACUGGGUUUAAAGGGUGCGUANGCGGGCAGGUAAGUCCGUGGUGAAAUCUCUGAGCUUAACUCANAAACUGCCAUGGAUACUAUUUGUCUUGAAUAUUGUGGAGGUAAGCGGAAUAUGUCAUGUAGCGGUGAAAUGCUUAGAUAUGACAUAGAACACCAAUUGCGAAAGGCAGCUUACUACACAGU